RNAcentral lists this ribosomal RNA (471 nucleotides) under uncultured bacterium. Its description in RNAcentral is "bacterial SSU rRNA". It matches the Rfam family "Bacterial small subunit ribosomal RNA", at positions 329 to 793 of the family's 1533-position model. The record is from RNAcentral.
GCAGAGCAUCCUACGGGAGGCAGCAGUGGGGAAUAUUGCACAAUGGGCGCAAGCCUGAUGCAGCCAUGCCGCGUGUAUGAAGAAGGCCUUCGGGUUGUAAAGUACUUUCAGCAGUGAGGAAGGUGGGUAUGUUAAUAGCAUAUUCAUUUGACGUUAGCUGCAGAAGAAGCACCGGCUAACUCCGUGCCAGCAGCCGCGGUAAUACGGAGGGUGCGAGCGUUAAUCGGAAUUACUGGGCGUAAAGCGCAUGCAGGUGGUUUGUUAAGUCAGAUGUGAAAGCCCGGGGCUCAACCUCGGAAUUGCAUUUGAAACUGGCAAACUAGAGUACUGUAGAGGGGGUAGAAUUUCAGGUGUAGCGGUGAAAUGCGUAGAGAUCUGAAGGAAUACCGGUGGCGAAGGCGGCCCCCUGGACAGAUACUGACACUCAGAUGCGAAAGCGUGGGGAGCAAACAGGAUUAGAUACCCCGGUAG